RNAcentral lists this transfer RNA (74 nucleotides) under Podarcis lilfordi (Lilford's wall lizard). Its description in RNAcentral is "tRNA.Leu". The record is from RNAcentral. Lineage: Eukaryota; Metazoa; Chordata; Lepidosauria; Squamata; Lacertidae.
GCCUGGAUAGCUCAGUUGGUUAGAGUUUGGUCCUGAGAACGCCAAGGUUGCAGGUUCGAUCCCCAUGUGGGACA